GGGUANUAUAUUGAAACCUAAAGAAUUUGGCGGUUCUUAAACUUACUAGAGGAACCUGUCCUGUAAUCGAUAGUCCACGAUUUUAUUUACCUGUUUUUGCAAUCAGCUUAUAUACCGCCGUUUAGUGAACUAAAUAAAUAGCUUCUCUGAAUUAAUUAGUUAAAGAAAUCAGGUCAAGGUGUAGUUUAUGAAUAGGUAGAGAUGGGUUACAAUAAUAUUUUAUACGGAUAUUUAACUUUAUGGUUGAAUUGAAGGUGGAUUUAGAAGUAAAUUUAAGGAUUUUUGAAGAAAGCUCUUGAGAAUGUACACAU
Molecule: ribosomal RNA, 311 nt
Filed under: Streptocephalus cafer
Lineage: Eukaryota; Metazoa; Arthropoda; Branchiopoda; Anostraca; Streptocephalidae
Description: partial 12S ribosomal RNA
Source: RNAcentral